Nicotiana tabacum (common tobacco) is the source of this 2615-nucleotide non-coding RNA. The record is from RefSeq and is a predicted model, not a curated record. Lineage: Eukaryota; Viridiplantae; Streptophyta; Magnoliopsida; Solanales; Solanaceae.
UUUCUCAAAAAUCUCAAAUCUACCUCCAUUCAACAACACCAAAAAGAUUUUAUUUUAUACACAGCAGCCAAAAUCCACACUCUGUCAUGGCAAAGGCUUAGCUUUUUCUCUGUGUUACUCUAACUUAAAUUUUACAGCUCAAACUUCAACCUUUUUGUGUAUCACUGUGAAAUGAACGUUGGGUACUCACUUGCAGAUCGAAUCUAGCAUUUUCAGGGAGCAUUUCUCGUUUUUCAUUGCUGGUUUCUUGGUGUCACAUCUUGUUCACUGUAUGUCCAAGGGAACUGCAGCGCAGCGUAGUCUGUCAGAUGUUCUUCAGUAGCCUUAUUAUGCUUGACCUGCGCCGAGAUGGGCGGCUUCUCUUUGAAAAUUCGGGAGCUGUUGUUUUCAAGUGUGCUGCUGCUUUGCAUUUUCUCAAGAGUUGCGCUAGCUCUCAGUCCUGAUGGUCAAGCGCUUGUCAACUUUAGGAUCUCAGUACUUGGUUCAGAUGGUGUUCUUAAGCAGUGGAGACCAGAAGAUUCGGACCCAUGUGGCUGGAAAGGAGUACUUUGUGACCCAAAAUCAAAGAGAGUUAUAUCAUUAAUCCUCCCUGAUCACAAGCUCAGUGGAUCUAUAUCGCCAGAUAUCGGGAAGCUAGACCAGUUGCAGUUUCUAGCUCUUCAUGACAAUAAUUUCUAUGGGACAAUACCUCCUGCAUUGGGAAAUUGUACAAAACUGAAAUCUUUGUUUCUACAGGGUAACUAUUUAAGCGGAUGGAUUCCUGAUGAGUUGGGGAACCUUCCUGAGCUUGAGAAUCUAGAUCUUUCAAGCAACUCUCUUAGCGGAAACAUUCCACCAUCCCUUGGCAAGCUGAACAAUCUUGUCUCUUUCAACGUGUCGACAAAUUUCUUGGUUGGGCAAAUACCUACUGAUGGACACCUUGNUUGAUUAGUACCCAGCAGAUUUCUUGGAAAUCGUAAUUUGUGUGGCCAGCAAAUCAGUCAGGACUGUAAAGCUGGAGGUCCUUCAUUUUCCCGGUCCCCAGUUGCAGCCCAAAACCAAAGUAAGAAUGGUCGACUACUGAUAAGUGCAUCUGCCACUGUGGGUGCUCUGCUAUUGGUGGCACUGAUGUGUUUCUGGGGCUGUUUCCUCUACAAGAGACUGGGUAAAAAUGAUGGCAAAAGCCUUGCAAUGGAUGUUUGUGCAGGUGCAUCGAUUGUCAUGUUUCAUGGAGAUUUGCCCUACUCUUCAAAGGAUAUCAUCAAAAAGCUGGAGACUCUGAAUGGAGAACACAUAAUUGGUUCUGGGGGAUUUGGAACUGUAUACAAGCUUGCAAUGGAUGACGGCAAUGUAUUUGCCUUGAAGAGAAUUAUCAAGAUGAAUGAAGGCUUUGAUAGGUUCUUCGAGAGGGAGCUGGAAAUUCUUGGAAGCAUUAAGCACCGAUAUCUGGUAAAUCUGCGAGGAUAUUGCAAUUCUCCAACAUCGAAGUUGUUGAUAUAUGACUUCUUAUCCGGAGGUAGCCUAGAUGAAGUUCUGCACGAGAGAUCUGAGCAACUAGACUGGGGUGCACGGCUAACUGUAAUCAUGGGAGCUGCGAAAGGGUUGGCAUAUUUACAUCAUGAUUGUUCCCCUCGAGUAAUCCACCGUGACAUAAAGGCUAGCAACAUUUUGCUUGAUGGCAAUUUUGAGGCUCGAGUAUCUGAUUUUGGACUGGCCAAAUUACUCGGAGAUGAGGAGUCUCACAUCACAACAAUUGUAGCUGGCACAUUUGGGUAUUUAGCUCCAGAAUACAUGCAGAGUGGUAGGGCUACAGAAAAGACUGAUGUUUAUAGUUUUGGAGUUCUGGUUCUUGAAGUCAUAAGUGGAAAGCGGCCCACUGAUGCAUCAUAUAUUGAGAAGGGCUUCAAUAUUGUUGGCUGGCUGAAUUUUCUCGCAUCUGAGAAUAGACGAAUGGAGAUAGUUGAUCCACAUUGUGAACGAGUACAGACUGAAAGCCUUGAUGCCCUGCUUUCAGUUGCCACACAGUGUGUCUCUUCAAGCCCCGAUGACAGGCCAACCAUGCACAGGGUUGUUCAGAUUCUUGAAUCUGAAGUCAUGACACCAUGUCCCAGUGACUUCUAUGAUUCAAACUCUGAUUGAAUGCGCUAUUGCUGGAUGCAAAGAACGUUAACCUUUGAGUUUGCAUCUGCAACUUCAUGCAAUAAAUUGAGUGAUGCAAGCAUUGGGGGUUUAAAGUCUGCAAAGAUUCUUUUCUCUACUCUAUUUGUCGAUUCUUUCUGCAGAUUUUUGACAAAAGAAGACCAUUUCAACUGUCAUCAUUCCUCAAAUUCAGAGUUUCCAGCUAGUUAUCACGAGGUUAAGCGUGCUUAAUUCUAUUUUUGAUUUCAUCAUUUUGCUCUGGUGCAUUGAGCUUUUCAUUUCGCCAGGGGAACGGAAUCUGUACGAGUGGUAUGAGCAAUCAAACCCUUUUUCUUUCAUUUGCUUUUCUGUUUGUAGCCUUGUUAUAGUUGUAUAUGGAAACGAUUGAAUUGAUUUUGCAUCUACCUCCUUUUUGUAAAUUAUGUUUCCCCACAAUAGCUGAUUUAUCAGUUGAAUACAAGUAUUUUUGUUUUUCUAUUUUAUUUCUAUUAAUCUCU